GGCGGCAUGCCUUACACAUGCAAGUCGAACGGCAGCAUGGAAGAGCUUGCUCUUCUGAUGGCGAGUGGCGAACGGGUGAGUAAAGCAUCGGAACGUGCCCAAUCGUGGGGGAUAACGUAGCGAAAGUUACGCUAAUACCGCAUACGAUCUACGGAUGAAAGCGGGGGAUCGCAAGACCUCGCGCGAAUGGAGCGGCCGAUGUCAGAUUAGGUAGUUGGUGGGGUAAAGGCUCACCAAGCCAACGAUCUGUAGCUGGUCUGAGAGGACGACCAGCCACACUGGAACUGAGACACGGUCCAGACUCCUACGGGAGGCAGCAGUGGGGAAUUUUGGACAAUGGGCGCAAGCCUGAUCCAGCCAUUCCGCGUGCAGGAUGAAGGCCUUCGGGUUGUAAACUGCUUUUGUACGGAACGAAACGGCGAGCUCUAAUACAGUUUGCUAAUGACGGUACCGUAAGAAUAAGCACCGGCUAACUACGUG
RNAcentral lists this ribosomal RNA (480 nucleotides) under uncultured bacterium. RNAcentral describes it as "bacterial SSU rRNA". It matches the Rfam family "Bacterial small subunit ribosomal RNA", at positions 38 to 507 of the family's 1533-position model. The record is from RNAcentral.